Molecule: transfer RNA, 65 nt
Filed under: Dipodomys ordii (Ord's kangaroo rat)
Lineage: Eukaryota; Metazoa; Chordata; Mammalia; Rodentia; Heteromyidae
Rfam family: tRNA
About the family: Transfer RNA (tRNA) molecules are approximately 80 nucleotides in length.
Source: Rfam by way of RNAcentral
GGUGGCUCAGUGGUAGAGUGCUUGCCUCAUGUGCAUAAGGCCCUGGGUUCAAUUCCUCAGCACCA